This 464-nucleotide ribosomal RNA is filed under the name uncultured bacterium. RNAcentral describes it as "bacterial SSU rRNA". It matches the Rfam family "Bacterial small subunit ribosomal RNA", at positions 335 to 793 of the family's 1533-position model. The record is from RNAcentral.
AUCCUACGGGAGGCAGCAGUGGGGAAUAUUGCACAAUGGGCGCAAGCCUGAUGCAGCCAUGCCGCGUGUAUGAAGAAGGCCUUCGGGUUGUAAAGUACUUUCAGCAGUGAGGAAGGUGGGUAUGUUAAUAGCAUACUCAUUUGACGUUAGCUGCAGAAGAAGCACCGGCUAACUCCGUGCCAGCAGCCGCGGUAAUACGGAGGGUGCGAGCGUUAAUCGGAAUUACUGGGCGUAAAGCGCAUGCAGGUGGUUUGUUAAGUCAGAUGUGAAAGCCCGGGGCUCAACCUCGGAAUUGCAUUUGAAACUGGCAAACUAGAGUACUGUAGAGGGGGUAGAAUUUCAGGUGUAGCGGUGAAAUGCGUAGAGAUCUGAAGGAAUACCGGUGGCGAAGGCGGCCCCCUGGACAGAUACUGACACUCAGAUGCGAAAGCGUGGGGAGCAAACAGGAUUACAUACCCUGGUAG